Long non-coding RNA from Hyaena hyaena (striped hyena), 556 nucleotides. RefSeq lists it as uncharacterized. The record is from RefSeq and is a predicted model, not a curated record. NCBI's taxonomy places the organism in Eukaryota, Metazoa, Chordata, Mammalia, Carnivora, Hyaenidae. The transcript has 5 exons.
UUUGUUUGACGUGUACAAUAUACUGAUUCAACAAUUCUGUACACAACAUUACACCAGUGGUCACCAUGAAUGACUUCCUGUACUUCACUAACACUCCUUAGUGCCCAGGAUAGGCACAGGAGUGGUGUGUGUGGCCUGGAAGAUUUCCUCAGAGAGUGACCAUGGAUUAAGUGACCAAUGGCUUUGCUCCAAGAUUAAGAACCCAGGACCUGGCGGACCAACUGAGAUAUUUGCUGACAGAUCCAAUGCUGGUGAUACAAGGGGAUGCCAGAGAGGAAGGGUCAUGCUCCAUUGGGAAGGGCCACAUCUGCUUUCAGAGACUCUUUCAACACCAAAGUUUGACUGCUCUAGGUCCCUCGAAGUGGAGUCACACAACAUCUGUCCUUUGCAUUACUACACUUAGCAUAAUGUCUUCAGUUCAUCCAUACUGUAGCGUGAUGAAUUACGUUUUAAGAGUCCCUCUGGCUGCUGCACUGAGGACAGACCACAGCGGGUGCUCAAUCCAUCUCUGCCCGCUUAAGAUGUUAUGGAUGCAAGAGGUCACUUUGUUCCACUC